This 449-nucleotide ribosomal RNA is filed under the name uncultured bacterium. Its description in RNAcentral is "partial 16S ribosomal RNA". It matches the Rfam family "Bacterial small subunit ribosomal RNA", at positions 29 to 523 of the family's 1533-position model. The record is from RNAcentral.
AACGAACGCUGGCGGCAUGCCUAACACAUGCAAGUCGAACGAGAUCUUCGGGUCUAGUGGCGCACGGGUGCGUAACGCGUGGGCAUCUGCCCUUUGGUUCGGAAUAACAGAUGGAAAUGACUGCUAAUACCGAAUGAUGCCGAAGGUCCAACGAUUUAUCGCCAGAGGAUUAGCCCGCGUAAGAUUAGCCAGUUGGUGUGGUAAAGGCGCACCAAGGCGACGAUCCUUAGCUGGUCUGAGAGGAUGAUCAGCCACACUGGGACUGAGACACGGCCCAGACUGCUACGGGAGGCAGCAGUGGGGAAUAUUGGACAAUGGGCGAAAGCCUGAUCCAGCAAUGCCGCGUGAGUGAUGAAGGCCUUAGGGUUGUAAAGCUCUUUUACCGGGGAUGAUAAUGACGGUACCGGGAGAAUAAGCUCCGGCUAACUCCGUGCCAGCCGCCGCCGUAA